CGAUAAGGAAUUCAUCAGGUGGCU
Molecule: non-coding RNA, 24 nt
Filed under: Drosophila melanogaster (fruit fly)
Lineage: Eukaryota; Metazoa; Arthropoda; Insecta; Diptera; Drosophilidae
Source: RNAcentral